UACAGAGGUGGCAAGCGUUGUUCGGAAUUACUGGGCGUAAAGGGCGCGUAGGCGGCCCGCUAAGUCGAACGUGAAAUCCCUGGGCUCAACCCAGGAACUGCGUCCGAUACUGGCAGGCUUGAAUCCGGGAGAGGGAUGCGGAAUUCCAGGUGUAGCGGUGAAAUGCGUAGAUAUCUGGAGGAACACCGGUGGCGAAGGCGGCAUCCUGGACCGGUAUUGACGCUGAGGCGCGAAAGCCAGGGGAGCAAACGGG
RNAcentral lists this ribosomal RNA (253 nucleotides) under uncultured bacterium. RNAcentral's name for it is "partial 16S ribosomal RNA". It matches the Rfam family "Bacterial small subunit ribosomal RNA", at positions 524 to 776 of the family's 1533-position model. The record is from RNAcentral.